RNAcentral lists this ribosomal RNA (328 nucleotides) under uncultured bacterium. RNAcentral's name for it is "bacterial SSU rRNA". It matches the Rfam family "Bacterial small subunit ribosomal RNA", at positions 32 to 353 of the family's 1533-position model. The record is from RNAcentral.
AAUCAACGCUGGCGGCGUGCCUCAGACAUGCAAGUCGAACGCGAAAGUCCCCUUCGGGGGAUGAUUAGAGUGGCGCACGGGUGAGUAACACGUAGGUAAUCUACCUUCGAGUGGGGAAUAACUCAGGGAAACUUGAGCUAAUACCGCAUAAUGCAGCGGCACCACAUGGUGACAGUUGUUAAAGCAUUUAUGCGCUUGAAGAGGAGCCUGCGGCGGAUAGCUAGUUGGUAAGGUAAUGGCUUACCAAGGCUACGAUCUGUAACCGGCUGAGAGGGCGGACGGUCACACUGACACUGAAUAACGGGUCAGACUCCUACGGGAGGCAGCA